CUAACUUUCAUAUCUUGCUCUCCAUGUAAGCAUAUAAACCACUAACUUUACAAAGGAAAGUGCCAUUGAUGCUGCUCAGAUUUCUUAAUUCAUUAACUACUGAUGUAGUCUUUGUAGUUGAAAUUUAAGUGUCAAUAUGUAACAUGCUUAUCAAUCUCUGUAGUUCUUGAAGAGUACUUAAAUUAUAGCUCAUAAGAAGAGUAAAGUUUAUUGUGUAAGGCCAUAUGGGACUUAAUCCAGAAACUUUAACUUUAUUUGGGUUUAGGGAAAAGUAGAUAGAUACUCAAGGAAACAGAAGCUAUAAGAAGAAAGAUUAACACAGUGCUUGGUUAGUUUAAUGAGAAAAGUUAAUGGAAGUUUUGCUAGAUUUUAUUUCUGCUUUGGUUCAAUUUGAGUAAAAUAUGUGGUGGUGGUGGUGCUCCUUGACUUUAGCAAGGGCCGUGAUAAAAUGAUAUACAAGCUAUGAAGAAGGAAAAGAAAAAGGGCAAGUGGAUAAAAGCUUAAAAAGCAGGGAAUAGAAGGAACUGUUUUCCUUCUUUUUUUUAAUUAAUAUAAGUGCAUCUUUUUCUCUGUAAAAUUAAUAGAAAGAUUUAAAUUAGAUACAAUCAUAAUUAUAAGCAACUUCCAAGUUAAAUUAAGAACUGUCAGAGUACAUUUCCCUAAAUUAAAAGAGGCUUGCAUGACCUGUUUUGUGCACUUCUAGUGGUCUUAGCUAGGUUUGUCUUUGGUAUUAGGGGUUUUAAUAAGAUAUAAUAAUGAUAAUUGCAGCCAGCGUAUUGUAAUACUUCUUUGAACAGAAUGAUAAAAGAGUCUUCAAUAGUAGGGAAAAAAGGGUUCCUUAUUCUUUUCUCUUUUUAAUUCUUCUUCCUUUUUUCAGGGUUCAUCCUGCCUUAACAACAGUCCCACUGGCAUUACUCUUACAAUUCACUCAUUCCAAGAGGUAAAGUUCCCCUUCCUCCCCCACCCCUCCAAAUUUUAAUUUUUUUAUAUUUAAAUUGUCUGAUUUUUAAAAGGAUACAAAUCUUUACGUUAGUUGAAAAUAUUAUUUGUAGAGAUAGUUUAUAACUACAGAAUAAACAAGCUUAAUCACCUCAAGGCAAUGUGCAGUAAAUCAGAGUAUUUAUAUGGUGGUUUUGGCUACUGUGUCAAUGCUAAAACUUGAAAUAUCAUGUAAUAUGGUUCAAUAUAUUGUUGUUGUUAUGACAAAUUUUGCUAUGACCCUGUUUACUACACUCCGUUCCAAAAUAAGAGAAAUAAUUUGACUUUUUAGGUCAAACGACGGCAUAUUAAACUUCAAAUUGAUGUGAACGUAUUUAAUUUUAGUUGAUACAAUUAUCAUAAUUGUAUAGUAUAUAACAAAAACUUGAUUUCUUUCUAAACUUUUAUAAGUUAUUCCAAUUUUUCUUGACAUUUAAUAUGUCGUCGUUUGACCUCAAAAAUCAAAUUAUAUCUCUAAUUUUGGAACGGAGAGAGUAACUACUAUUUAAAGCCGUUUGGCCUUCUAAUAGUUAUUCUCAAGGCUAUUCUUUAUUUUUAAGGAAAACUAAAUCCUUGAUAAAUAUAAUUUUAAAUAUUAGAAUUGUACCUUUAUGUUUGCUAGAAUCUUAUGUGAUGAUGAUUUAUGCCCACAAGAUGAUACAAACUGCUAGCCAACAUGUUUUCCCUCAGUAAAUUUGAAUUCUCAUUAUAAAGAAAGAAAGAAGAUGAAUUGAGGAUUAUUUUGUUCUUUUCUUGAGUAAUGCAUAUAAAAAAGAUGAGUGAAUCUUAGGAUAAAAAGAAGCACUAGGGAACAUUGUGAUAAAGAGAUAUUUAAAAGUGGAAAAUGGCAUCACAUCUGACCCACUAAAGACUAAGAACAUUAGAUUAGAUAAUUUACAUAUGUGGUGGUGAUGUUAGUACUGUGUCCAGCAUUUUUAGAGCUAUUAGAAAAAACAACCAAAAGCCAAUUAAGCCGCCCCCCAAGGUAAACGAUUUGGAAUUGGCUGGUGGCUCCUGACUCUAGGGGGUGGCAUUUUCCGGGUUGAAAGCUUAAACCAAAAAAAUGGGCAAAGUGAUGUGGAUGCCACCAUUUUAUGGCCACUCCACUUAAGCUUCCAUCUCCUUCCUUCCAUUUAUCAUCAACAUAAUAUAUAUAUAUAUAUAGGGGAAAGAGAGUAUGUGUCUUAAACACACUUAAGCUUGUGUGUCUUGUACAUAAUACGACGUAGUUUUGAUUGACAAAUUAGUGAAAUGUCAAAACAACCAUUUUAUUUAAUAAAAAUGGUGAAAUGUUUUAAUCUCUUAAAAUAAUAUGACACAUGUAAGCUCUUUUUGUGUGUGUGUGUGUGUGUAUGUAUGUAUGUAUGUAAAGAGAAACUGUUAUGAAGACAAUGGUGGGCAUACUUUUCAUAUUAGACUGAUUUGUUAUUAGGAAGGAAAAAGAAGGGAAUUGCAAGAGAAGGUCAAGGAGAAGGUGUUUCUUCCCUUUAUGGGGAGGUAAAUGAAGAUUCAAACACUUUGUUUAGACUGAAGGAAUAGAGUGGAAAGGAAAAGAACAUGGGAAUAGUUCUUUCACAUUUUGACUUUCCCAGUUUGGUUUACUAGCAAAAAUGAUAGGGAGAGGAGGGAAAGCUUUAUAAUAAGUACAUUCUCUAGGCCUAGGGACUAGGGUAUAUGAAGUUACUUAUUGUGGAGUAAUCAAAUUCCUAUUCCCUUGCUACACCUUUUCCAAAUAGGAGACUUUUCUUUCAUUUCUUUUGUAUAUAAACCAUUCCAAACAUGAAGUAGGGAUAUCAGUAUCCUGUAUUUCUCUAUCCUUUCAUUUUCUUCCUUUUCCUCCUAAUAAUCCAAGAUUCCGAAGAGUUAUAAAGUUUGAAGUAGGAAGUGACAUUAUUCCUUGUAAUCUAUAAGGCAAUAAUUUUGAUGUGGUGAAAAAGAAGAAUAACUUUUAUCUUUACCUUUAUACACUACACACAACUCCCUAGUCCCUAGCUUGAUUGCUAUUUAUAUACAAGGGUUAGUGGUCAAAUCAUGAAAUAUCCAUUUUUUUUUACUUCCUUGCUUGAUCAAACCUUAUAAAGGGAGGGAAAACACACAUUCCAUUGCUUUGGUUGGCAAAGAAAUGUCUUUAGGGAAAGUAGUACCAUUUCCCUCGUUGUGUUUAGAUUAAUAGAAGAAAAAAACAUCUCCACAAUAGAAAAUAAAGCAUUUUCCCUUGUUAUCUUUGGCUUGGAGGAAUCCAUCACUUUUACCUUACUUCACAUUCCUCCCAAUUCUCCAUGUGUCAUACCAAAAGUAGACAAGACAAUACUACAAUAAAACUAAGUUAUGGCAGUAGAAAAUCAUAUGUUAUACUUGUCCUGUAAGAGAAUUUAGUGAGAAUAUGAUAACUUGUCCUGACCAUAUGCUUUUGUAUUGUUCUCCUUAUAAUACAUAUUCCCCUUGCAACCCCAUGUCCCCUUCCGGCCUCAGNNNNNNNNNNNNNNNNNNNNNNNNNNNNNNNNNNNNNNNNNNNNNNNNNNNNNNNNNNNNNNNNNNNNNNNNNNNNNNNNNNNNNNNNNNNNNNNNNNNNGAACUUAAGUUAACUUUGUCUAUUUCUUGUAUUUUUUUGCAUCUGAAAUUAAAGGGGAAGAACUAAUUUGGAAUAUUAGGAAGAAAAAAUGAAUGGUCCAAAUCAGUUGAGCCCACAGCAAAUGGCCGAAUAUGGUAUAUUGUACACAACUUGCACAUCUACAUCUACAUCUACAUCAUCCUCUUAAGUCUAAAAACAAAGCAAUGUAAUGUGUGAAAAAAGAUUUGAUAAGUUGUGCCGUGUGUGACACAAGAUGAUAAGACCACUACAUUCCUGAUUUCUUACUUUCUUUUGUUUACUUCUCAGUGGGGGGCUGUGGCUGUUAGCUAGCAAGGAUUGACAUACAAAGGACUCGGUUGAUAGACCAAAUUAUAUGCACUCACCAAGUGGUGGUAAUUAAGGAUGGCCAUAACUUUGUCUUACCUCAAUUUGGGUGUUUAAGGGGUUAAAUACAUUUUUUCUCACUCUAUUCUAUCUUGGUUUACACAUGCUUCACUGUAUUAUUUUAUAAAUAUUUUAGUAUAAAUGUAAUGUUUAAG
Molecule: long non-coding RNA, 4089 nt
Filed under: Panax ginseng (ginseng)
Lineage: Eukaryota; Viridiplantae; Streptophyta; Magnoliopsida; Apiales; Araliaceae
Description: long non-coding RNA (PGIN_LNC008788)
Source: RNAcentral